RNAcentral lists this ribosomal RNA (372 nucleotides) under uncultured organism. Its description in RNAcentral is "partial 16S ribosomal RNA". It matches the Rfam family "Bacterial small subunit ribosomal RNA", at positions 527 to 896 of the family's 1533-position model. The record is from RNAcentral.
GUAGGGUCCAAGCGUUAAUCGGGAAUUACUGGGGCGUAAAGCGUGCGCAGGCGGUUGUGCAAGACCGAUGUGAAAUCCCCGGGCUUAACCUGGGAAUUGCAUUGGUGACUGCACGGCUAGAGUGUGUCAGAGGGGGGGUAGAAUUCCACGUGUAGCAGUGAAAUGCGUAGAGAUGUGGAGGAAUACCGAUGGCGAAGGCAGCCCCCUGGGAUAACACUGACGCUCAUGCACGAAAGCGUGGGGAGCAAACAGGAUUAGAUACCCUGGUAGUCCACGCCCUAAACGAUGUCAACUAAUUGUUGGGGAUUCAUUUCCUUAGUAACGUAGCUAACGCGCGAAGUUGACCGCCUGGGGAGUACGGUCGCAAGAUUA